This is a non-coding RNA of Paramuricea clavata, 397 nucleotides long. NCBI's taxonomy places the organism in Eukaryota, Metazoa, Cnidaria, Anthozoa, Malacalcyonacea, Plexauridae. The record is from the annotation of a GenBank genome assembly.
GGUCAAAGAAAAAUUAUCAAAUUAAUAAUUAUAACUGUACAAUCAAGUUACAAUAUGUGAUAGAGUAUUAUUAUAACUGUAGCUCCAUGGGUGAUUCUUUGGCUGUCCCCUGUUUUGAUGCCUUGGGCCAUUUCUUGUAGUACAUAUAACAGGGUUUUUUUCAGGAUUUUCUCUAGGGUCCGUUUUUGCAGAGAAGAUUGAAUUUAGCUGAACAGCUGUGGUGGUUGCACCCCCCCCCCCCUACCGGGGGGCUGACACUUGUACUCAACAAAUGUAGUUGAGACGGAAUGUGUUAAAGCAGGGGCAUUGAGGGAUACUAUAAACUGGUUAACAAUGGCGAAUGCAUAGUUUUUCUUGUGUUGUGAGAUGAAUUCCAGCCAUUUUUUCUUAAUUGUCG